CUGUUCUCGGGCCUGGAGUACACGCUGAGCUUCCUCACACACCAGCGCUUCCAGUUCAGUAGGUGGGUCCCCAUCUGGCGACGGCCUGCUGUCUCCCUGAAAUAACGCCCCUGCUUCAGGGAAGCAACCCCCAUCCCCAGGAAGCCUUGGCAGCCACUCUCGCCCUGGCCCUGCCCCGGGUGGCCCUGCCCCGGGUGCCCUGCACUAACACACCCACUCCCAGUCUGCAGCAGGGGAAGAUGUUUUUCCUCAUCGGCCUCACCAUGGCCACCAUCCAGGGUGCCUAUGCCCGGCGGAUCCACCCUGGCGGGGAAGUUGCUGCCGUGAAGCAGGCCCUCUUGCUGCUGGUGCCUGCCUUCCUCCUCAUCGGCUGGGGACGUUCUCUGCCCGUGCUGGGCCUGGGGCUGCUGCUCUACUCCUUUGCCGCCGCCGUUGUGGUGCCCUGCCUGUCCUCCGUGGUCGCUGGCUAUGGUGAGCGCCCCUCCCUCGGCCGAAGCCACCUAAGCGGGAGAAGGGCAGUGAUCCCUGACUGCGCCUCUUCCCACAGGCUCCCCAGGGCAGAAGGGCACGGUCAUGGGUACACUGCGCAGCCUAGGCGCUCUGGCCAGGGCCGCGGGGCCCCUGGUGGCUGCUUCAGUGUACUGGCUGGCCGGGGCCCAGGCCUGCUUCACCACGUGGUCCGGGCUCUUUUUGCUCCCCUUCUUCCUCCUGCAGAAGCUGAGUUAUCCGGCACAGACGCUCAAGGCUGAGUAGCUGAGCCACUGUGCCCAGGCUGUGGGCACCAGGCAGAGAGUGGGAGCCUAGGUCAGGCCCCUGCCCACUGCCUGACCCUCCGCUCCUUCCCAGUCCAGGGAGACCCUGUGGGUGGGGGCUAGCCCCUAAGCAGGAAGUUCAGGCAGCUCCUCCAGACUUACUCCUUGGAUGACUCCGAACUGCAGCACUCCAAGGCUGUCAAGGUUCUGUUUGUUUUUUUAAACUAUGCACCAGUUUCUGAUGAUGAAAUAAAGCACCUGUUUAUA
This 1019-nucleotide small RNA is filed under the name Pongo abelii (Sumatran orangutan). RNAcentral's name for it is "retained intron". The record is from RNAcentral. Lineage: Eukaryota; Metazoa; Chordata; Mammalia; Primates; Hominidae.